Molecule: small nuclear RNA, 103 nt
Organism: Gracilinanus agilis (Agile Gracile Mouse Opossum)
Lineage: Eukaryota; Metazoa; Chordata; Mammalia; Didelphimorphia; Didelphidae
Source: RefSeq, a predicted model, not a curated record
UUGCUUUGGCAGCACACAUAUGAAAAUUAUGGCAAUUCAGUGAAGAUUAGCACAGUCCCUGCACAAGGAUGACACACAAAUUCAUAAAAUAUUCCAUAGAAAA